CUGCGAAUGGCUCAUUAAAUCAGUUAUCGUUUAUUUGAUAGUACCUUACUACUUGGAUAACCGUGGUAAUUCUAGAGCUAAUACAUGCUAAAAAUCCCGACCUCUGGAAGGGAUGUAUUUAUUAGAUAAAAAACCAAUGCCUUCGGGCUUCUUGGUGAUUCAUGAUAACUUUACGAAUCGCAUGGCCUUGUGCCGGCGAUGGUUCAUUCAAAUUUCUGCCCUAUCAACUUUCGAUGGUAGGAUAGUGGCCUACCAUGGUUUCAACGGGUAACGGGGAAUUAGGGUUCGAUUCCGGAGAGGGAGCCUGAGAAACGGCUACCACAUCCAAGGAAGGCAGCAGGCGCGCAAAUUACCCAAUCCCGACACGGGGAGGUAGUGACAAUAAAUACUGAUACAGGGCCCUUUCGGGUCUUGUAAUUGGAAUGAGUACAAUUUAAACCCUUUAACGAGGAACAAUUGGAGGGCAAGUCUGGUGCCAGCAGCCGCGGUAAUUCCAGCUCCAAUAGCGUAUAUUAAAGUUGUUGCAGUUAAAAAGCUCGUAGUUGAACUUUGGGUCUAGGUGACUGGUCUGCGUCUACCGCACGUACUGGAAACCCGGAUCUUUCCUUCUGGAGAACCGCAUGCACUUUACUGGGUGUGCCGGGGAACCAGGACUUUUACUUUGAAAAAAUUAGAGUGUUCAAAGCAGGCAUUUGCUCGAAUACAUUAGCAUGGAAUAAUAAAAUAGGACGUGCGGUUCUAUUUUGUUGGUUUCUAGGACCGCCGUAAUGAUUAAUAGGGAUAGUCGGGGGCAUCCGUAUUCGAUUGUCAGAGGUGAAAUUCUUGGAUUUUUCGAAGACGAACUACUGCGAAAGCAUUUGCCAAGGAUGUUUUCAUUAAUCAGGAACGAAAGUUGAGGGAUCGAAGACGAUCAGAUACCGUCGUAGUCUCAACCAUAAACUAUGCCGACUAGGGAUUGGGCGACUGUGUUAUUUGAGUUGCUCA
Molecule: ribosomal RNA, 984 nt
Filed under: Lamprospora sylvatica
Lineage: Eukaryota; Fungi; Ascomycota; Pezizomycetes; Pezizales; Pyronemataceae
Description: SSU rRNA
Rfam family: Eukaryotic small subunit ribosomal RNA
Source: RNAcentral